GGGGCUGUAGCGCAGCUGGGAGCGCGCAUGACUGGCAGUCAUGAGGUCACGGGUUCGAUCCCCGUCAGCUCCACCA
This 76-nucleotide transfer RNA is filed under the name Acidobacteriota bacterium. RNAcentral describes it as "Acidobacteria bacterium tRNA-Ala". It matches the Rfam family "tRNA". From Rfam's summary of the family: Transfer RNA (tRNA) molecules are approximately 80 nucleotides in length. Their secondary structure includes four short double-helical elements and three loops (D, anti-codon, and T loops). The record is from RNAcentral. Lineage: Bacteria; Pseudomonadati; Acidobacteriota. RNAcentral also lists the same sequence under 3 other names.